Molecule: transfer RNA, 69 nt
Filed under: Triticum urartu
Lineage: Eukaryota; Viridiplantae; Streptophyta; Magnoliopsida; Poales; Poaceae
Rfam family: tRNA
About the family: Transfer RNA (tRNA) molecules are approximately 80 nucleotides in length.
Source: Rfam by way of RNAcentral
UCCAUUGCUCAGUUGGUAAAGCACAAAGCUCUUAACCUUGUGGACGUGGGUUCAAGCCCUGCCAUGGAA